AGAUAGAUUGAAACUGCAGAGUUUUGAAAAACUAAAAAAUAAAGUGCGAGACUGGCUUCAUUAUUAUCAGAUAAUGGAGGCAUACAAUUUGGAUAAGAAAAUUGGCUUCCAGGUGGAAAAAUCAAAACUAGAAACAGAAAUGUUAGAACCCAAAACUAAGAAUUUGUCAAGAAUGUAUAACUUGUUGCUGAAAUGGAAUACUCAGGAUGAAACGGUGAAAUCUGCUAUGAUUAAAUGGGCACAAGAUGUUGGACAUAACAUCAUGUUUGCUGACUGGGAACAGUUAUGGACCACAGGUAUGAAGUUUACGGCAUGUAAUGCCCUAAGAGAGAAUAUUAUGAAAAUGAUAUACAGGUGGUACAUAACCCCAGUCAAGCUUGCAAAAAUCUACCAUCUGCCCGAUAAUAAAUGUUGGAAAUGUAAAGAAACUGAAGGUACAUUCUUUCACCUUUGGUGGACGUGCCCAAGGAUUAAGGUUUUCUGGGAGAUGAUUUAUAAUGAAUUAAAACAGGUAUUUAAAUAUACCUUCUUGAAGAAACCAGAGGCCUUUCUCCCGGGCAUAGUCGACCAAUCGGUGUUAAAGAAGGACAGAACUUUCUUUAUGUAUGCUACAACAGCAGCAAGAAUACUUAUUGCAAAGCACUGGAAGACACAAGAUCUACCCACACUGGAGGAAUGGCAGAUGAAAAUGAUGGACUACAUGGAACUGGUGGAAAUGACUGGCAGAAUCCGAGACCAGGGAGAAGAGUCGGUGGAAGAAGAUUGGAAGAAAUUUAAAGACUACUUACAGAAAUAUUGUAAAAUUAAUGAAUGUUAGAAUGAUGUCGGAUUGAAGUUAAGUGGUUUCUAGCUGUAAUGGUAUAAAAGAAUAUGGAAAAAUUGGUUUUUAAUACGUAAAAAUUUAAUGUUAUAAUAUAUCAAGAUUAAAGAUCAGGAUUAAAAAGGAGGGAAAGGAAUUGCUGGACUAACAAACUGAAUUGGAAUACAAAAGAGGGAGGUAUGAGGAGGUCCGGGAAACAAGUAAACGUAAAAGAAGUGAUGAAAAGACGGAAUUGUUUUUAAUUGUUUUUUUCUUUUUCCUUUUUGUAUUUUGUAUUGUGUAUUUUUCUUUUUAUUGUUAAUUUUUUUUAUUAAUGUGAUCCUUUUCUUGUGAAAUUUUAAUAAAUAUCAUUU
Podarcis lilfordi (Lilford's wall lizard) is the source of this 1173-nucleotide non-coding RNA. Lineage: Eukaryota; Metazoa; Chordata; Lepidosauria; Squamata; Lacertidae. The record is from the annotation of a GenBank genome assembly.